This 460-nucleotide ribosomal RNA is filed under the name uncultured bacterium. Its description in RNAcentral is "partial 16S ribosomal RNA". It matches the Rfam family "Bacterial small subunit ribosomal RNA", at positions 338 to 795 of the family's 1533-position model. The record is from RNAcentral.
CCUACGGGUGUCAGCAGUGAGGAAUAUUGGUCAAUGGGCGCGAGCCUGAACCAGCCAAGUAGCGUGAAGGAUGACUGCCCUACGGGUUGUAAACUUCUUUUAUACAGGAAUAAAGUGCGGCACGUGUGCCUUUUUGUAUGUACUUUAUGAAUACGGAUCGGCUAAUUCCGUGCCAGCAGCAGCGGUAAUACGGAGGAGCUGAGCGUUAUCCGGAUUUAUUGGGUUUAAAGGGAGCGUAGAUGGGUUGUUAAGUCAGUUGUGAAAGUUUGCGGCUCAACCGUAAAAGUGCAAUUGAUACUGGCAUGCUUGAGUACAGGUGAGGUAGGCGGAAUUCGUGGUGUAGCGGUGAAAUGCUUAGAUAUCACGAAGAACUCCGAUUGCGAAGGCAGCUUACUGAACUGCCACUGACAUUGAUGCUCGAAAGUGUGGGUAGCAAACAGGAUUAGAUACCCGAGUAGUC